This 2905-nucleotide long non-coding RNA is filed under the name Gallus gallus (chicken). The record is from RNAcentral. Lineage: Eukaryota; Metazoa; Chordata; Aves; Galliformes; Phasianidae.
AUCCAUAGCGAGGAAAGGGCUUUGAUCCGUCGCUGCAUUUGUACUGGCAGAGGCCGUCCUCGCCGCCCAGGAGGUCGAGCGCCGCGUUGAGGUAAACGUCGAUCUUGUGCACGCCGUUCCGGAUAGUUUUCAGCGUCAUCCUCCAGUCUGGGGUCUGCGGCGCCUCCUGGCUCCGGGCCGCCGGCGGCCGCGGGCCCACCCAGGCACCCGCCAUCAGCAGCGGCAGCAGCAGCAGGGCGCGGGCCAUGCCCGAGGAGCCGCGCCCCGCGCCGCCGGGCGCUCGCUAAGCCCCCGCCGCGCGGCCGCAGCGCUCCGCACGCACGGCCCGGCCCGCCGCCAUCGGCCCCGCGGGCGCCGCCCCUACGGCUGGGCGGGACUGCGAGCAGGGCGCGGCCUGUUGGAGAAGGCGGCCGGCGUCCGCUCCUGGCCCGGCGCUGCGGUGUGGGGUGCUGGGAGCGGAGCUGCUCCGGGAUCUUUCCACGUGCGAGCGAUUCGCUUUCAGGGUUUCCAGACACUGGGAGACCAGUAUAUUGUUUUCUGUGAAAUGGAGAAACGCCUCUGAUCAUCCUUGUUACUUCUUUCUCAGAAAGAUGAGAGGACUGGAACUUGCAGAUACAGAUCAUUCCCCUGGUGUGAUUUUCACUCUUCCUGGUCACCCACAAGCUAUACUCUUCAAAAAUCAGCUGAAGUGCACAACAGAUGAUAAACAUUUCAAGCCAGUGGUUUAUAGCACACCACAACAAUGGAACUGUGAGCAAAUUAAAAUAUAAGGGGACUUCACAGAAUCACACAGAAUGGCCUGGGUUGGAAGGGACUUCAAGGAUCAUGAAUCUCCAACCCACCCCCCUGCCCCCCCGGCACUGGCAGGGCCACCAACCUCUACAUUUAAUACUAGAGCAGGCUGCCAAGAGCCCCGUCCAGCCUAGCCUUGAACACCUCCACGGAUGGGGGAUCCACAACCUCUCUGGGCAGCCUGUUCCAGCACCUUACCACUCUCACAGUAAAGAACUUGCCCCUGACAUCCAACCUAAAUCUUCCCUCCUUCAACUUAAAACCAUUUCCCCUUGUCCUGCUAUUAUCUCCCCUUUCAAAGAAUUGACUCCCCUAACUUGGCUUAAACACCAGAAAAAUGAAAUUAAAAAAAAAAGAGUAGCAACUUGAUUUUUUUUCAAGACCUUUUUAUUGUCCCAGUUGACCCAGUUGACAUAACUAUAGCCAAUAACUACUUAGAAACAAAUAAAUCUAAAAUUGAAGAUGUGUUUCAUUGCAAGUAACAAGUAUUAAGUAUCUUCAACAAAUGUGAAAAUUAAGUGCCCUUCCCAGUCUGUUUUGUUCCCAUAUCUUGGAUGGCAGUGGGUUUGCAGUGUGGUUUCUGGUUGUUGUGGACUGCAAGGAGUGCUCCUUAUCCCUCCAUCUGACCAUCUGUCUCUAGGUGAGUGAUAACACCUAUCCUGGCAGCUCUCUGGUUAUUCCAUUGCUGGCUGAGUGCUUUUGCUCACUAAGAUGUGUGUGCAGGGGGAAUGUUGAAAUGUGAAAAAUAUGUAGCUAGACUUUGCAUAAAGAUGAGAAAGAAAUGUCAGUUGUCAGAUCGGAUUUAUCGGCUUUGAGUGCAUCCACUGAAUCAACAGAGCCAAAGUUUAAAGUUCUCGUGAAGAAAUCCUGGCCUAAGUAAAGGCAGUGGGAAUGUCGCCAGGGCUGAAUUUAUUCCGAGCCCCUCCCACCCUUUUAAGGGCUGUAUAAUCUUAAUAAAUUCUUCCUGUUCUUCUCAGGUCAGUAGAAUCCUAUGCAUUAUCUUUAGAUUUACAUACCAAACUCUGAGCCAGGCCCGGCUUGGCAUAACUCCUGUAUUGCACUAGAUGUUUCUCUUUAGCUCUGACAGAAUAGCAACAAAAGGGGCUGAUCUUUACCUACGGGUUUUUCUUGGAAAGCUCAGGCUAUGCUGAACAUGGAGCCCAUCAGGACUCCUUGAGAGGCUUUUGCCAGAAGAGAUUUUACAACAAAAGCUUUCUGAGCUGAGCCACACUUGCAGGUUGGGUUUAGCAUAGCAUCCCGAUUAAAAGAUUUUCCAAAAGGCUGUUAAUGUAAACCUCAGAUAGAACCGAUAUACAGAGGAGAAACAGCAAGAUUCACAUUUUCAAGCUGGACUAAAACAAAUGUACGAAAUGCAGAUGCUGCAAAAGGAAAUUAAAAAAGACUUUGUUUUUAUAAUAAUAAAUUGUUUUAACUGUUUGCUGUUGGUUGGUUUGUUUUUAAAAUAAGGGGAUACCACAAUAAAAUAAGUUCUUACCUGUGCUCGACAGAAAGAAAAGAGAGAGAAGCAAACCAAGAGAACUGCAACCACUCUCAUGAUGAGGUUUUAUGUCUUUGUAGAGAAAUUCCCCUGGCCGGGACUUUCCCAAUUGCCAGUCGUUAGGUUUGUGUUUAAUUUUUAACCUUUGGUAAAACACUCUGAAGUGGACUCAGAAACAACUACGGGAGCCUUAGAUAUCAACGGAUGAGUCUGCUCUCUCCACACGGAUCCCACCCCAUUUAACCUGUUUUACUGUAAAUAGAGACCAAAGGGAAGCCCUUGAAGCCAACGGUUACAAGGGAGUGCUCAGCAGGGUCUCUCGCUCCCCGCCUGCUGCCAACGCAGACCGAUGGAGCCGCGGGCCGAUCUCCUGGCAGCAGGCACCCCGCUCUGCAGGGAGCUGUUAGGGCAGGUGCGUUCUUAGGUGAGAUACGUGUGUCUGUAUGCAGGCAGGCAAACGGAACGGAUCAACUCCACUAUCUCCGUGCGAGAGCGUAACCGGCGGAGCCUUGCUCAGAGAACUGUUGGGGCAGUGGCCAAUCCACUGCAUCCCACCUGCGGGCGGUUUCCGGGAGAACCGCGGUCUCGGCCGGCACAACGGAACGGCUCCUGCGA